GGCAGCUUGGCUCAGGUGGUUAGAGCGACGGUCUCAUAAUCCGUAGGUCCCGGGUUCAAGUCCCGGAGCUGCUA
Molecule: non-coding RNA, 74 nt
Organism: Oscillatoriales cyanobacterium CG2_30_44_21
Lineage: Bacteria; Bacillati; Cyanobacteriota; Cyanophyceae; Oscillatoriales
Source: Rfam